This 292-nucleotide ribosomal RNA is filed under the name uncultured bacterium. Its description in RNAcentral is "partial 16S ribosomal RNA". It matches the Rfam family "Bacterial small subunit ribosomal RNA", at positions 505 to 796 of the family's 1533-position model. The record is from RNAcentral.
GUGUCAGCCGCCGCGGUAAUACGGAGGGUGCAAGCGUUAUCCGGAUUCACUGGGUUUAAAGGGUGCGUAGGUGGGCAGGUAAGUCAGUGGUGAAAUCCUUGAGCUUAACUCGAGAACUGCCAUUGAUACUAUCUGUCUUGAAUGUUGUGGAGGUGAGCGGAAUAUGUCAUGUAGCGGUGAAAUGCUUAGAUAUGACAUAGAACAUCUAUUGCGAAGGCAGCUCACUACGCAAAUAUUGACACUGAGGCACGAAAGCGUGGGGAUCAAACAGGAUUAGAUACCCCCGUAGUCC